Molecule: unclassified non-coding RNA, 378 nt
Filed under: plant metagenome
Description: partial contains 5.8S ribosomal RNA, internal transcribed spacer 2, and large subunit ribosomal RNA
Rfam family: 5.8S ribosomal RNA (bases 1-105)
Source: RNAcentral
GAAAUGCGAUAAGUAAUGUGAAUUGCAGAAUUCAGUGAAUCAUCGAAUCUUUGAACGCACCUUGCGCUCCUUGGUAUUCCUUGGAGCAUGCCUGUUUGAGUAUCAUGAAAUCUUCAAAGUAAAUCUUUUGUUAACUCAAUUGGUUUCUACUUUGGUAUUGGAGGUCUUUGCAGCUUCACACCUGCUCCUCUUUGUUCAUUAGCUGGAUCUCAGUGUUAUGCUUGGUUCCACUCGGCGUGAUAAGUUAUCUAUCGCUGAGGACACUGUAAAAGGUGGCCAAGGUAAAUGCAGAUGAACCGCUUCUAAUAGUCCAUUGACUUGGACAAUACUUUUAUGAUCUGAUCUCAAAUCAGGUAGGACUACUCGCUGAACUUAAGC